CUGAGCAGGAAGCAAAUAGUCUCACAGUACUCAGAUGGACCUGGAGACAUUUAUGAGCUAGACUGUAUGAUGUGGUUGCCUGGAAUAGCAGGAGGCUGGACUGUACAUCCUAGGAAGCCAGCUCCCAUCCAGUGUCUAUAAGUUUUUUCAGCUGUUGCUUGUGUGCGUGUCUCUGAGUGAGCAGGCAGUCCCUCCACUGCUGUGUGAUGCGGAUGCGGCGAAGGCAGCAAAUCCUCCGGCUGUGCGUGCCCUCCCUGGACUGCUGCUCCAUCCCCGCCUGUCGUGCUCGCGCGUGUGCAUGGCUGGGAGCGCUGCCUAGGUGCGGCCGGGAAUGAGCCAGCUGCGGGGCAGGGAACGCUACAGCUCCGAGGGGUGACACCAGUGGGGGACACCCCCCGCACAAACACAUCUGCAGGGCUGCAAGUUGCUCGAGGACCGGGGUCUUUUGUGCCUCCACUUCGUCUCUGUCAUGCCCCGUAUGGAAGCUGGGAGCAGUCACCCCUCCAGAAGCAGCUUGUGCACGCACUCCCUGGGGGUUGGAUGCCUCUGAUCCGAGGAUGAAGGCAAGGGAAGGCGAAGUCGUUCGCAAUGAAUCCAUGGCAGCUUCGAUCGAGCGGUGUGCUGGAGCACCUACUCACAGGCCACUCCUUCAUGUGACUGAACAGAGACCUUUCCCAGCAAUCGCCAAGGAGAGCAGAGCCCUGGAUUUACCUCCCGCGCAGCCGGGCACCCCCAGCGCAGGCACUGCGAGAUUCCAGUGACAGAUGGAUCUCUCUCAUGCACACUUGCUCUUUCCUUCUCUGUAUUUUUGUUUUCGACAUGUUUGAUCCGAAGCUCUGAAGCUUCUCAGAGGGAACCCAGGAAAGAAGGAAGAGAAGGAGUAGAAACCAAGGGAGCGUGAGCGGCACGGGAGGCAGCCCUGCCUUGUUCUUCCAAAUCACACUGUGGAGGGGCGGGGGAAGACUAGAGGGGGAGGACUUGGGUUUGUUUUGGGGUGGGU
RNAcentral lists this long non-coding RNA (1000 nucleotides) under Zonotrichia albicollis (white-throated sparrow). RNAcentral describes it as "lncRNA (ENSZALG00000006532.1)". The record is from RNAcentral. Lineage: Eukaryota; Metazoa; Chordata; Aves; Passeriformes; Passerellidae.